CUCGCCUCUUCGUCCUCCCAUUCGCCACCCCGUCUUCCCCGCACUCGCCGCCGCCGCCACCCUUCGUCCCGUGUGCUCUGCUUCCUCCCCCCUCCCGUCCCCUCGCUCUCGUGCAGCCGCCGCGGCGCUCCCACAUCUCCUCCCCUUCCUCUCGACCAGGCCGCGCUGGCGCUCGGGGCGCUCGCCGCCGUGCUCCCCGGCGACGACGACGCCCCCGCAGCGGACGGCGCUUGGGAGGCCGACCUCCACGCAAGCCCUAGCACAGCUUAAGGCGAAGCUCGUGGCGCUGGGGCCCGGGCGCGUGGGUGGCGCGGUGCUCGCGGAGCCGCUGCAGAUCCCCGCCGACCAGGCCGCUGUGGCGCUCGGGGCGCUCGCCGCCGUGCUCCCCGGCGAUGACGACGACCCCACAGCGGACGGCGCGUGGGAGGCCGACCUCCACGACGUGCUCCUCUUCCUCUACAUCCAGUCCUACAAGCGCCUUGUGCCAAGGCUUCGAUUCCAUCCAUUUGCUCCCGUGUAGCACGCUGGCUCGCCACGGUUUAUCUGGGAGCAAAGCACCCCGGCCAUCUCUCUCCCCCCCUCCCCCCCCCCCCCCCCCCCCCCCCCCCCCUCUCUCUGAUGUCAACCUCGGUUGCCUUUUAUUUUCAGAUCUGCAAUGGCCUGAAGAAUGAGGCAAUCCUUGGAAGCAGCACGUACAUGUGAUCCCCCUCUCACUCUGAUUCCAAGGUUAUGUUGCUGUUGGUAGGUGUCACUCUGGAUUGCAGAAAACAUGAUAAGAGCAUGGAGAUGGAUUGCUGCAUAUAUAUGCUACCCACACUACCAUUUUCUUGAUCAUGUUUGUAGAGUUGAACUACUCGUUUGAUAUAUCCUUAAUUCUUAUUCCUUUUAAUCUCCAUAUGACAUAGAAGGUUCUGGUUGCUCUAUUAACAUGAUCGGAUUUUUUGUGUGUUUUGCAUACAACAUGAUAAGAGCAUGGAUGGAUUGCUGCAAAUUCAUGUUGUUGUUGCGGGAUCAUGCCGGCCCUCCCUUGUGCUAGCCAGCCAUCAGGACCGACUGCGGUUGGUUCAUGCCGACGCGGCUGUGGCUCCCUGUGGUGCUCCUCUCAUGUUGCAUCUUCUUCCUUGCGGGCUUCUUUGGCUCCCUCCUCUUCACCCAGGAUAUGCAGGGGGAGGAGGACAUGGAGCGGCCACUGCCAAGGGAACGGCCGCUCUAUUUACCCUUAUUGUCGGUUUCACUUGCCUAGCCUAGUUUGAAGAGUUUCCCGGGGGUGGCGAGGAGUACCGGCAUAUCGAGUCCCUGGUGUUUUCCUCUACGAGCUGGGGAGGGCGUGUGGUUCUCUCCUCGUCGGUCUCACUUCUCCCCUUCCUCCUCCAUGGAUUGGAACGAAAAGAAGAAACUACAGCGUCACAUAACUGCAGCAAAGAAGGUACUGCAUGAGAUGUAACAGGGUCGUAUUAUGGAAGCGAAGAACAGAAUCCCUGCUGUUCCACGGAGUGAGUACAGUUAAAGGUAAAAAAAGGAAAAAGAAAGUCUGGAGCUCUCUCGGCUGUACAACAAAGAGGGGUUACUUCACGUACUCAUCAGCAGUGAGGCUAAUAUCAUCUCCAAUCAAGUGAAAAAGCAAGGGCGCAACCUUAGUUUUCUGUUGGAAGACUUCUAUUUCUCUCAUUCCAGAGGUGCUAGCCUGUGCAAGCAGUGACAGUGUACUUUUUAUUGAUCUGAAUCUUCAGGCUUCAUUUUGAAAUUUUGGGCCACGAACGCUUGAUCGCAAAAGUAACAGGUAUCAUGAAAUUGCGGUGGCCAUCCGCGGAUCUACAGUCCCUGGUUUGCUUUGUCGAGUGUCCUGGGCAAGAGGACCAAGUGUGGGCGGGUAGGUAUCGGCAAGGCGGGCUGUCAGCAUGGUGUUGGAGUUAGUCGGUAGUGGUGCACCUACGCCACAUUUCAGAGCCACUGUUAUUCAUCAAGAACAUAAUUUAACUAAAGCUCGUUAAAAAAUUGCCCAUAGAAAUAAUCACUUUGGAUUGGUAGUGUCAAAAGGAUGCAGAACAUUUGUAACAUUUCUUCCCAUAUUCAUGAGACUUUCACUCUGCUGUUGCAUUAGUCAAGUUUAAUUUCAUUACAUAUGUGUGCAUGUAUCAAUUUUCAUAUUUAAAGUGAUAUAUUUAAGAAUUAUCAGAAAUUUUGCCAAAUUUGCUGGGCACAAAACAGAGAUCUGGAAGCAGGACAAACGUCACUGAUAUUUUGUUGGUCAUUUUUGGUGUCGCAUCUCAAAUGGAAUGGCACUCAUGGAGGCAAUUGAACCAAGCUAUGGCAUCGUAGUUUUAUCUCUCUAUUGCCACUGUUGGCUUUUGCUCUCUUAUGUUCCUGCUCAUAUUACUGAACUUAAUGUUAGCUAAUUAGCUUUUGUAAUUAUACAACCGUGCUGAAUUGGAUGUUGCCUUGCUUCUGAGACGGGUUAGCUUUUAUAAUCUCAUGACCAUUGAAUUUGAUGAUGUUACACUUCUGGUACAGUGUGGAUGUUUCUUCUUACCAUUGAACUCGAAAUUGGUUGUCCUGUUACAUCUGCUAAAUUUGCCUUCAUACUAAUGCAUCAUGCCGCUUGAUCUUCCAUGGCUUGACCAUAUCGUUAGGACCGGCACCCUCGCGUCAAGGCGCGUUGCCGAUCUAGUAAAUACUAUUGUUUGAUGUGUUCUUAUCAUUCUAGAGGAGGGCAAAAAUACAUAGACAAUGCGCAGCGGUUGCAUGGGCGUUCUAGGGUUACCAGGUCAUUUCUUUGCUUCAGGAAGACACUCAACCAGACUCAGUUUGAUCUGGGUUCUAUACCAUUAAACUAACCAAGCCUGGUGCAGGCGGACUUCCCAUGCAUGCAGGUGGUCAAAUGUCAGUUCUCUAUCCGUUUGUUUGGUACGCCCUUCCACAAUAAAAGAAGAGAAGAUACCUAAUCUUGGAUGAGAAGGUAAUGUGAUCAUGUUAACACUGCAUGCCAAUAAGACGUAGGUCAGAGGCCACAACAAAACUGCACCCACUUGUCCUCCGGCCUCCUCCGGUGAUGGCAACUUGUGAGCUGUAAUGUAAGUGUGACGUCCUUUGUCAAGACUGCAAUAAUAGUAUAUGCAUGCUCCCUGUGAUCUGCAUGCAUCAUGCCCACACCAACCAAAGGUUAUAUGUUCGGAAAACAAGAUGAAAUUGCACACCUUUUAGUUGUUUGGAGUUUUCUUUAAUAAUCUUUGUCAACCGAAGUUAUAACCUUGAAACUGCGCAGUUUUAUCAUAACAUUACUGCAAUGACUAGUUCGUACCAUAAAUGUGGAGUGAGGUGGGGAUGAAUACAGUUGAAUUUUAGUCCAAAAGUAGACAACUUAGCAAUAGCCGGCCUCUAGUACAUACUUCCUCCAUCCCAUAAUAUAAGAUCGUUUUGCAAGCUACGGCGGCUAAAGUUAGUGAUUAUAAACGUCAGGAUAAGAGCGACCACUACCCAAAAUAUGGGGAUAGGAAACGGCUAAUUGCACAUGCCAUGGCACCUCUCGUCACCAGUGGCAUGCCCAGUGCUCACUUCACCUGUGCUAGUUGCUGCACCACGCCACCACAUCCAGACCCCAAACCCCAGAGCUCAUAUAAGUAACACACGCGGUGCCUUGCGAAAAUAGAUCACGUAUACUUCACAGCCCACUUCGCUCCUCGCAAAAGCUUCUCUGUGUUUCCCUUCCGCGACUUGGACACAGCAGCAAUGAGAUCGGCGCUCGGUCUCUCCCAUUGGUGUUCCUUGCUGCUUCUCCUCUCGCUGGUGACGGCUCCGCGGGGGCUCGAGGUCGGCGACCUCUUCAGCCAAGGGAAACCACCGGCGGUGAAGCAGGACUGCAGCCGGACAUGCGAGUCCAAGUUUUGCACGGAUUUCCUGUUUAUUUUUCAGUUGAAUAAUGGGCUGGACUGAAGUAACUGACGCUCGUUUGGCCUUGGUUUCCGGCACGCCACCGGCCUCCCUCCGGAAGUCCCGCCUGUGCUGAGGUACGGGAAAUACUGCGGAAUCCUCUACAGCGGCUGCCCCGGCGAGAAGCCCUGCGACGCCCUGGACGCCUGCUGCAUGGUCCACGACCACUGCGUCGCCGCCAACAACAAUGACUACCUGAACACCAGGUGCAACGAGAACCUGCUGGGCUGCCUCGACGGGGUGAACCCGGCGGGGCCGACGUUCCCGGGGAACAAGUGCAGCGUCGGCGAGACGGCGUUCGUCAUAAAGGGUGUCAUCGAGGCGGCCGUGCUCGCAGGGAAGAUCCUUCACAAGCGCGAC
Non-coding RNA from Aegilops tauschii subsp. strangulata, 4287 nucleotides. NCBI's taxonomy places the organism in Eukaryota, Viridiplantae, Streptophyta, Magnoliopsida, Poales, Poaceae. The record is from RefSeq and is a predicted model, not a curated record.